AGGCACCCCGCCGCCCCCGCCUUCCUCUCCCUCGUCUCUUCUUUCUCCCAGAUACGAUCGAAGCACCGCCGACCUCUCCACCAUCUCCUUCCCGUCCCCCAUCGCGCCGCCAUCCACCUCGUUGCCUCCCAUCUCCUCCCGCCCCCUCCCUCCCCCACCUUCCCCUUUCGCCCCUCCUUCCCGGACCCCGAGGGCGCCCGCAUCGGCUCUGGCGCCACCACGCUCCAUGCCGUCGCCUCCCUCGCCCGCCACCUCGUCUCCCAGGCCACCAAGGAAGAGAUCGCCGAAUUCCUCCCCGAAGCGACCGGCUCCUCCGCAUCCGUGGUGUGCUUCAUGGCCACCAAGCACGUGCUGCUGCUGCACGCCGGCGGCGACAGCAAGAGGGUUCCGUUGGCGAACCCCAUGGGGAAGGCCUUCCUGCCGGUGCCUUACCUGGCCGGGGCAACCCCGACGGGCCUGUCCCGCUGCUCUUCGACCACAUCAGGGGGGUCCAACGCAAGGCAAUCAUUCAAGACCGGCAUCGGCAAGUCCAACCUGCCCUCCCGCUUCACCCGCAACGAGUUCAGCCUCGAGUCCAAGUCCACCAUCAGGGGGGUCGAGUUCGCCACCCGCUCCCUCUAGGUCGACGGCAAGGUCGUCAAGGCCCAGAUUUGGGACACCGUCGGCUCUUCCUAUCCCCGUCUGUUCGGCAGCAGUUGUGGAGACCAUGGAUGGGACUAUCGCAGAAGCACCGUUUUGCCUUUUUCAGUUAGAUGCCUUUGGAUUGCUUGGCAUCAGACCCUGUUCAAGGAGAUUUGCUUUUGCCCUGGAUGCAAAUGGACAUCAUGAUUCUGUUAUGCGCCGAGGUCGGUGGUUGAAUUCUUGAUUGGUGUGGAACACAAUGGACAGGGCAAAAUCAGUGUGCUUUGAAACGUAGGGCGAAUCUUGUGGAGGAGUAGGGCGAAUCGGACAUUGUCUCGCUUGUGCCGCUCUGAUAACAUGCUGAAUGUUGUUCAUGCGACUGUGUAUGAAUCUUCUGUACGUGCAGAUUAUCAGGCAUUUUUAAUGCUGCUGAGGGUGUAACAUAGUGUUCCAACCAACAGCAGAAAAAUCAGUUUGAUGUAUGGAUGCUUCAUGCGGUGGUAGCUAAUGAUCUCUGUACUGAUGACAAUUUUGUGAUCGGGAUAUAAUGUCGUCGAGGUGGCUGCUGCUCUUACCGAAGAUCAGAAGAAGCUUAGAUAUGUGCACCAAGUUUUAGUUGAUGUUGCCACCAAGUUUUGGUGCAUGUGUAUUUGUUUUUUGAUUGUAUGUGCACUUGUUGGAUCGUCCAGUAUGUGCUAUUGUACAUGUGCUAUUGUGAGUUUCAUUGAUCGAUUUUUGGAUUUGAUUAUUUAAUUGAAAGAAUGUUUUGGUUGUUGCUG
RNAcentral lists this ribosomal RNA (1400 nucleotides) under Triticum aestivum (bread wheat). Its description in RNAcentral is "partial small subunit ribosomal RNA". The record is from RNAcentral. Lineage: Eukaryota; Viridiplantae; Streptophyta; Magnoliopsida; Poales; Poaceae.